Molecule: non-coding RNA, 22 nt
Filed under: Arabidopsis thaliana (thale cress)
Lineage: Eukaryota; Viridiplantae; Streptophyta; Magnoliopsida; Brassicales; Brassicaceae
Source: RNAcentral
UGGUAAUCUUCAGGGCCGACCC